RNAcentral lists this ribosomal RNA (484 nucleotides) under uncultured bacterium. Its description in RNAcentral is "partial 16S ribosomal RNA". It matches the Rfam family "Bacterial small subunit ribosomal RNA", at positions 28 to 523 of the family's 1533-position model. The record is from RNAcentral.
GACGAACGCUGGCGGCGUGCUUAACACAUGCAAGUCGAACGAUGAAGCUGGAGCUUGCUCCGGUGGAUUAGUGGCGAACGGGUGAGUAACACGUGAGAAAUCUGCCCUUGACUCUGGGAUAACUGCGGGAAACUGUAGCUAAUACCGGAUAUUUUCCUUGGUGGGCAUCGACUGGUGAAGAAAGAAUUUCGGUCAAGGAUGAUCUCGCGGCCUAUUAGCUAGUUGGUGAGGUAAUGGCGGACCAAGGCGACGACGGGUAGCCGGCCUGAGAGGGUGACCGGCCACACUGGGACUGAGACACGGCCCAGCCUCCUACGGGAGGGAGCAGUGGGGAAUAUUGCACAAUGGGCGCAAGCCUGAUGCAGCAACGCCGCGUGAGGGAUGAAGGCCUUCGGGUUGUAAACCUCUUUUAGCAGGGAAGAAGCGAAAGUGACGGUACCUGCAGAAAAAGCACCGGCUAACUACGUGCCAGCAGCAGCCGCCG